Molecule: ribosomal RNA, 228 nt
Filed under: uncultured bacterium
Lineage: Bacteria
Description: partial 16S ribosomal RNA
Rfam family: Bacterial small subunit ribosomal RNA
Source: RNAcentral
CGUGUAGGCGGCUUGGCAAGUCGGUUGUGAAAGCCCGGGGCCCAACCCCGGAAUUGCAGCCGAAACUGCCUCGCUAGAGUCCCGGAGAGGAAGGCAGAAUUCCCGGUGUAGGGGUGAAAUCCGUAGAUAUCGGGAGGAAUACCAGUGGCGAAGGCGGCCUUCUGGACGGUGACUGACGCUGAGACGCGAAAGCGUGGGGAGCAAACAGGAUUAGAUACCUGGUAGUCC